CCAGAAUCCUACGGGAGGCAGCAGUGGGGAAUUUUGGACAAUGGGGGCAACCCUGAUCCAGCAAUGCCGCGUGUGUGAAGAAGGCCUUCGGGUUGUAAAGCACUUUUGUUCGGAAAGAAAUCGCUCUGGCUAAUAUCCAGAGUGGAUGACGGUACCGGAAGAAUAAGCACCGGCUAACUACGUGCCAGCAGCCGCGGUAAUACGUAGGGUGCAAGCGUUAAUCGGAAUUACUGGGCGUAAAGCGUGCGCAGGCGGUUGUGCAAGACAGGUGUGAAAUCCCCGGGCUUAACCUGGGAAUGGCAUUUGUGACCGCACGGCUAGAGUGUGUCAGAGGGGGGUAGAAUUCCACGUGUAGCAGUGAAAUGCGUAGAUAUGUGGAGGAAUACCGAUGGCGAAGGCAGCCCCCUGGG
RNAcentral lists this ribosomal RNA (410 nucleotides) under uncultured soil bacterium C074. RNAcentral describes it as "bacterial SSU rRNA". It matches the Rfam family "Bacterial small subunit ribosomal RNA", at positions 331 to 733 of the family's 1533-position model. The record is from RNAcentral.